UCCACGCCGUAAACGAUGUCGACUUGGAGGUUGUUCCCUUGAGGAGUGGCUUCCGGAGCUAACGCGUUAAGUCGACCGCCUGGGGAGUACGGCCGCAAGGUUAAAACUCAAAUGAAUUGACGGGGGCCCGCACAAGCGGUGGAGCAUGUGGUUUAAUUCGAUGCAACGCGAAGAACCUUACCUACUCUUGACAUCCAGAGAACUUAGCAGAGAUGCUUUGGUGCCUUCGGGAACUCUGAGACAGGUGCUGCAUGGCUGUCGUCAGCUCGUGUUGUGAAAUGUUGGGUUAAGUCCCGCAACGAGCGCAACCCUUAUCCUUUGUUGCCAGCGGUUCGGCCGGGAACUCAAAGGAGACUGCCAGUGAUAAACUGGAGGAAGGUGGGGAUGACGUCAAGUCAUCAUGGCCCUUACGAGUAGGGCUACACACGUGCUACAAUGGCGCAUACAAAGAGAAGCGACCUCGCGAGAGCAAGCGGACC
Molecule: ribosomal RNA, 479 nt
Filed under: uncultured bacterium
Lineage: Bacteria
Description: bacterial SSU rRNA
Rfam family: Bacterial small subunit ribosomal RNA
Source: RNAcentral